This is a long non-coding RNA of Rosa rugosa (rugosa rose), 1190 nucleotides long. RefSeq lists it as uncharacterized. Lineage: Eukaryota; Viridiplantae; Streptophyta; Magnoliopsida; Rosales; Rosaceae. The record is from RefSeq and is a predicted model, not a curated record. The transcript has 2 exons.
UUUUAAUGUGGUAUUUUAAUAGUUAAUUCCUCACAUUUUGCUUAGUUAAUUCCUUAACGAAUCGAUUUUUAACUUAAUUUCUAUUUUUUUAGGUACAUUGGAGUAGAUGAUGAUGAAAUGAGCAUUAGGUCCAUAAUUACCUAUAAAUGAUGGAGAAAAAUGAAAAUGUACUAAAAGGUCAAUUUUACACAUUUUCCUACUCCGGCUAGGAGAAACCAAGCCAAGCAAGGAAGAAGGAGCGGCCGCCUGACCAAAUGAACUCCAAAUGAGCUGAAACUUUCCAGAUCCAUUCUAGACAUCCUAAGGAUCGUUUCUUAUGAAGAGUGCCAGAGCUAGAAUUGAGCGGAAGGCCUUCAAACAGUCAGCCCAAUUUCCUGCAGAAGCAAAACUGGAAAACUGGACCUGUAAGAGGUCCAGCAGCAUUUUCGGCCCAACCACAUGGAAUAAAAAUAUAAAAUUUUACCAGGGUGAUCUACACUCAUAAUGGAACAUUUUUUAUGAAGAGGUCAUAGUGAAAUUGGGAAUGCUUGUUGGAGAAAUAAUUGAAGGAAUAAAGGGGCAGAAACUGAUCUAAAAACAGCUCAACACCACAUGUUCAAGUUUCCUACCCACAUGAAGAAAGCUAGAUGCUUUUCUCUUUUUCCUUGGAUAUAUUUUUCUGCUCCAAUAGAUCAUCAUCACUUCCAUACUUCUACACCUUCAUGCCUUGCUUUCAUUUCAUCAUUACUCCAUCUUUUCCAUAUUUUACAAACCACUUUCAUUAUUUUUCUUCCAUUUAUCAUUUCACUCUUCUUUUUCUUCCCUAUAUAAACACCUUCUCCUCUCACUCUAAAGAACAUUCCUUCAUCCAUUCCAUCUUCUUGUCUCACCAUUUCCUUUCCAUUUUCCCAAAGAUUCCUUCAUCCAUUUCAUCUUCUUUGUCUCUCCAUUUCCAUUCCAUUUUUCUCUCCAUUCUCUAGUUGCAAAAUUCUGCGUUUUCAAGUAAGAAGAAGAAGAAGAAGAAGGAGCCGGGAAUAUCAUAUCCUCCAUCGUCCACCUUGAAGGCUUGCUUCCAAGAUUCAAGAUUUCAACGUUUCAAGCACUCCAUCUCCAUCUCCAACUCACGGUGUGUACCCUCAAUCCCCGGAAUAGAACGAUCCCUAUUUGCUUAUACUACUAACGAUGUUUUCAGGGUUAAAUUAUGCGCUUGC